RNAcentral lists this ribosomal RNA (521 nucleotides) under uncultured Glomeraceae. Its description in RNAcentral is "SSU rRNA". It matches the Rfam family "Eukaryotic small subunit ribosomal RNA", at positions 569 to 1092 of the family's 1831-position model. The record is from RNAcentral. Lineage: Eukaryota; Fungi; Glomeromycota; Glomeromycetes; Glomerales; Glomeraceae.
AGCAGCCGCGGUAAUUCCAGCUCCAAUAGCGUAUAUUAAAGUUGUUGCAGUUAAAAAGCUCGUAGUUGAAUUUCGGGAUCAAGGGAUCGGUCAUGCCUUGGUAUGUACUGGUUUCAUUGGUUCUCACCUUCUAAAGAACCAUGAUGUCAUUCAUUUGAUGUUAUGGGGAAUUAGGACUGUUACCUUGAAAAAAUUAGAGUGUUUAAAGCAAGCUUACGCUUGAAUACAUUAGCAUGGAAUAAUGAAAUAGGACAUCAGAUUCUAUUUUGUUGGUUUCUAGGAUCGAUGUAAUGAUUAAUAGGGAUAGUUGGGGGCAUUAGUAUUCAAUUGUCAGAGGUGAAAUUCUUGGAUUUAUUGAAGACUAACUACUGCGAAAGCAUUUGCCAAGGAUGUUUUCAUUAAUCAAGAACGAAAGUUAGGGGAUCGAAGACGAUCAGAUACCGUCGUAGUCUUAACCAUAAACUAUGCCGACUAGGGAUCGGAUGAUGUUAAUUUUUUAAUGACUCAUUCGGCACCUUACG